AUGGCGGAGGAACCGUCCGCCAAGCGUCAUCAUGCCGAGACGUCGGACAAGAGGAGCAACCUCGUCGACAUUAACGUCCCCGGCGAGAAGUGCGAGUACACAACAACCCUCAAAGGGGUUGAGCUCCACGGCAACGAGACGCUGGAGAUCGUCUGCACCAGCGUACCAGAAAAGGCCGACGAGGUGAUCUCCAGGCUUUGGAGGAUGCUUGGCGGCAGGGUUCGUAGGAUCGUCGGCGUUGGUGUGCACUACACCAACGAAGAUGAACCUCCCCAGAAGGCAGCAGUCCUGCAGUUAUGCGUCGACGAACUCUGCUUGGUGUACCACAUCGCAGCGGCCACAAAAUGGCCCAAGCGCCUGACCGAGAUGCUGCAGCAUGAGAAGUUGUUCACAUUUGCCGGUUUCAGCAUUGAAAGUGACAAAGAGAAGCUGAAGUUGUCCGGUAUCGAGAUCAACCCCAACAAGUUCAUCGACAUUCAGCGCAAGUGGAGAGUUCCAUACACCGGAAAAGAGUACGACUCCUUGACUGAUGUUGCAGCCAGUGUCAUCCACCCAUUCUACAAAGGCAUGAAGAACAAGAUCAACACGCAGGAAGACUACAAACUGUGGGGGACCAGCAAGCUGCCAGACAACCUCAUCGAGUACGCAGGAGUAGAUGCGUACGCCCCGUACAAGUCAUGGUUCAUGAUCGACUACAUCAAUGACGGUUCGGAAUAUGCGAAAGAGCGGGAGGCUGAAAACUUCUACGACCACCCCUAUUGCCCCUUUGCUGGAUGA
RNAcentral lists this ribosomal RNA (777 nucleotides) under Triticum aestivum (bread wheat). RNAcentral describes it as "partial small subunit ribosomal RNA". The record is from RNAcentral. Lineage: Eukaryota; Viridiplantae; Streptophyta; Magnoliopsida; Poales; Poaceae.